GGAGAGAUGGCUGAGUGGCUGAAAGCGGCCGCCUCGAAAGCGGUUAUUCCGGCUUUAACUGGAAUCGAGGGUUCAAAUCCCUCUCUCUCCACCA
RNAcentral lists this transfer RNA (94 nucleotides) under Candidatus Babela massiliensis. RNAcentral describes it as "tRNA-Ser (CGA) (tRNA-Ser-CGA-1-1)". It matches the Rfam family "tRNA". Rfam says of the family: Transfer RNA (tRNA) molecules are approximately 80 nucleotides in length. Their secondary structure includes four short double-helical elements and three loops (D, anti-codon, and T loops). Lineage: Bacteria; Candidatus Babeliae; Candidatus Babeliales; Candidatus Babeliaceae. The record is from RNAcentral.